Molecule: long non-coding RNA, 1074 nt
Filed under: Androctonus crassicauda
Lineage: Eukaryota; Metazoa; Arthropoda; Arachnida; Scorpiones; Buthidae
Source: RNAcentral
UUUUCUUCUUUACUUUUGAUAAAGAAGAAAAUUAAUCAAAAGAAGAAAACUUUAUCAAAAGUAAAGAAGAAAAAGAAAACAGGAAGAAAUUAAUAAGUUUAAAGAAGAAAGACUAAAAAGAAAAGCAGAAAAACAGAUGAAGAAAAAGAUUGUUAAAAAGCAGAAAUUUAAAGCAGCCUUGGGAAUAAAAUGAAGAGGAUGAAAGUUGUAGUGAUCAAGAACAUUGUGCUUCUUAUAAUGGGAUAUUAAUGAAUGGUGAUGAUGAUACUCUUAAAAGUAUUGGAUAUGACAACAUUCCCAGAUGGUUUCAUUUAAAAUGCACAGACAUGUUUGAUGAUAAACCUUAUGAGACUAUUGCAAAUACAGAGUUUAUUUAUAAUUUAUGUUUGUAUUUACAUAAUAAACAAGAUUGUUCAGUAUUUGUAUUCUCAUAUGAUUUUUUCAUAAUUAAAAAAGUUUGCUAUUACUGUUUGUUAUUUGUUUUACCAGAAACUGGGAUUUUUACAAUAAUCCUGUGAUCACUGGCUGAGAACAGGCUAAGCAUUGGAUCUACUAGGCUGACAAAUGGUGAAUUUUGACAUUUUUUUACUCUGAUGAUAUUUAUUUAUAUACCUUAUCAAAUUUAUUAAAAGUAAUAGUUUCUUCAAAAACUAUCAUAUAUGAAUGACAGUUUUUGAGAGGUUUCAUAUUUUUUGUUUUCUACUGUAAAAUUAGGAAAAGAAACAUUGCUAAAAAUGCUAUCUGGCUGACCAUUGGAGAAGUUACUUAUAAAAUUAAAAAGUUAUUGGAAGCACAAUUUUUGAAAUAAAUUUACAGUUUUGUAUUUGUAAUUUUGUCUAAUUCAGGUAUUAAAUUAUAUCAAAAAUUUAUUUUCCUUUAAAUUUGAAAAAUUCAUAGGCUAAAAUAUACCUUACUAUGAUGAUAGCAUCUCAUAUUAGAGUUCAGACUGUCAAUGUUUUCCUGCACUUUUAGAAUUAUGAACAGAUACAAAUACUUGCAAACUGUAUGUGCAUAACAAAUUCUGAUUCACCUCCAAAUCAAAACGAAAAUGAAAAUUUAUCAAGUUUUCCUUAU